Molecule: ribosomal RNA, 2904 nt
Filed under: Escherichia coli
Lineage: Bacteria; Pseudomonadati; Pseudomonadota; Gammaproteobacteria; Enterobacterales; Enterobacteriaceae
Description: bacterial LSU rRNA
Rfam family: Bacterial large subunit ribosomal RNA
Source: RNAcentral
UUAAGCGACUAAGCGUACACGGUGGAUGCCCUGGCAGUCAGAGGCGAUGAAGGACGUGCUAAUCUGCGAUAAGCGUCGGUAAGGUGAUAUGAACCGUUAUAACCGGCGAUUUCCGAAUGGGGAAACCCAGUGUGAUUCGUCACACUAUCAUUAACUGAAUCCAUAGGUUAAUGAGGCGAACCGGGGGAACUGAAACAUCUAAGUACCCCGAGGAAAAGAAAUCAACCGAGAUUCCCCCAGUAGCGGCGAGCGAACGGGGAGGAGCCCAGAGCCUGAAUCAGUGUGUGUAUUAGUGGAAGCGUCUGGAAAGGCGCGCGAUACAGGGUGACAGCCCCGUACACAAAAAUGCACAUGCUGUGAGCUCGAUGAGUAGGGCGGGACACGUGGUAUCCUGUCUGAAUAUGGGGGGACCAUCCUCCAAGGCUAAAUACUCCUGACUGACCGAUAGUGAACCAGUACCGUGAGGGAAAGGCGAAAAGAACCCCGGCGAGGGGAGUGAAAAAGAACCUGAAACCGUGUACGUACAAGCAGUGGGAGCACGCUUCGGCGUGUGACUGCGUACCUUUUGUAUAAUGGGUCAGCGACUUAUAUUCUGUAGCAAGGGUUAACCGAAUAGGGGAGCCGAAGGGAAACCGAGUCUUAACUGGGCGUUAAGUUGCAGGGUAUAGACCCGAAACCCGGUGAUCUAGCCAUGGGCAGGUUGAAGGUUGGGUAACACUAACUGGAGGACCGAACCGACUAAUGUUGAAAAAUUAGCGGAUGACUUGUGGCUGGGGGUGAAAGGCCAAUCAAACCGGGAGAUAGCUGGUUCUCCCCGAAAGCUAUUUAGGUAGCGCCUCGUGAAUUCAUCUCCGGGGGUAGAGCACUGUUUCGGCAAGGGGGUCAUCCCGACUUACCAACCCGAUGCAAACUGCGAAUACCGGAGAAUGUUAUCACGGGAGACACACGGCGGGUGCUAACGUCCGUCGUGAAGAGGGAAACAACCCAGACCGCCAGCUAAGGUCCCAAAGUCAUGGUUAAGUGGGAAACGAUGUGGGAAGGCCCAGACAGCCAGGAUGUUGGCUUAGAAGCAGCCAUCAUUUAAAGAAAGCGUAAUAGCUCACUGGUCGAGUCGGCCUGCGCGGAAGAUGUAACGGGGCUAAACCAUGCACCGAAGCUGCGGCAGCGACACUAUGUGUUGUUGGGUAGGGGAGCGUUCUGUAAGCCUGUGAAGGUGUGCUGUGAGGUAUGCUGGAGGUAUCAGAAGUGCGAAUGCUGACAUAAGUAACGAUAAAGCGGGUGAAAAGCCCGCUCGCCGGAAGACCAAGGGUUCCUGUCCAACGUUAAUCGGGGCAGGGUGAGUCGACCCCUAAGGCGAGGCCGAAAGGCGUAGUCGAUGGGAAACAGGUUAAUAUUCCUGUACUUGGUGUUACUGCGAAGGGGGGACGGAGAAGGCUAUGUUGGCCGGGCGACGGUUGUCCCGGUUUAAGCGUGUAGGCUGGUUUUCCAGGCAAAUCCGGAAAACUAAGGCUGAGGCGUGAUGACGAGGCACUACGGUGCUGAAGCAACAAAUGCCCUGCUUCCAGGAAAAGCCUCUAAGCAUCAGGUAACAUCAAAUCGUACCCCAAACCGACACAGGUGGUCAGGUAGAGAAUACCAAGGCGCUUGAGAGAACUCGGGUGAAGGAACUAGGCAAAAUGGUGCCGUAACUUCGGGAGAAGGCACGCUGAUAUGUAGGUGAAGCGACUUGCUCGUGGAGCUGAAAUCAGUCGAAGAUACCAGCUGGCUGCAACUGUUUAUUAAAAACACAGCACUGUGCAAACACGAAAGUGGACGUAUACGGUGUGACGCCUGCCCGGUGCCGGAAGGUUAAUUGAUGGGGUUAGCGGUAACGCGAAGCUCUUGAUCGAAGCCCCGGUAAACGGCGGCCGUAACUAUAACGGUCCUAAGGUAGCGAAAUUCCUUGUCGGGUAAGUUCCGACCUGCACGAAUGGCGUAAUGAUGGCCAGGCUGUCUCCACCCGAGACUCAGUGAAAUUGAACUCGCUGUGAAGAUGCAGUGUACCCGCGGCAAGACGGAAAGACCCCGUGAACCUUUACUAUAGCUUGACACUGAACAUUGAGCCUUGAUGUGUAGGAUAGGUGGGAGGCUUUGAAGUGUGGACGCCAGUCUGCAUGGAGCCGACCUUGAAAUACCACCCUUUAAUGUUUGAUGUUCUAACGUUGACCCGUGAUCCGGGUUGCGGACAGUGUCUGGUGGGUAGUUUGACUGGGGCGGUCUCCUCCUAAAGAGUAACGGAGGAGCACGAAGGUUGGCUAAUCCUGGUCGGACAUCAGGAGGUUAGUGCAAUGGCAUAAGCCAGCUUGACUGCGAGCGUGACGGCGCGAGCAGGUGCGAAAGCAGGUCAUAGUGAUCCGGUGGUUCUGAAUGGAAGGGCCAUCGCUCAACGGAUAAAAGGUACUCCGGGGAUAACAGGCUGAUACCGCCCAAGAGUUCAUAUCGACGGCGGUGUUUGGCACCUCGAUGUCGGCUCAUCACAUCCUGGGGCUGAAGUAGGUCCCAAGGGUAUGGCUGUUCGCCAUUUAAAGUGGUACGCGAGCUGGGUUUAGAACGUCGUGAGACAGUUCGGUCCCUAUCUGCCGUGGGCGCUGGAGAACUGAGGGGGGCUGCUCCUAGUACGAGAGGACCGGAGUGGACGCAUCACUGGUGUUCGGGUUGUCAUGCCAAUGGCACUGCCCGGUAGCUAAAUGCGGAAGAGAUAAGUGCUGAAAGCAUCUAAGCACGAAACUUGCCCCGAGAUGAGUUCUCCCUGACUCCUUGAGAGUCCUGAAGGAACGUUGAAGACGACGACGUUGAUAGGCCGGGUGUGUAAGCGCAGCGAUGCGUUGAGCUAACCGGUACUAAUGAACCGUGAGGCUUAACCUU